GUUUGCUGUGCUCCUGGCAGGUGCCAGUGCAGGAGGCAUGAUAAAAAAGCUCCUGGCAGAACCUGGAGACAUAUUAGCUCUAGUCCAUAUGACCCUAUAGGCUGGUAAAGGCAGGUGGGUGGUUCUGAAAAUCAGAUUUAAGGCAUCAACAACAAACUUAACUAAAUGAACAGAUCCGCAUGGAUAAUUUUCCAGAAAUUCUAUGGAUGACAUGCUGGGGUCUAGAUAAACAGUGGAAAAUAGGAACCUAAAUCUCCCUCAAAAAUACCAUUAGCACUAAAUGAAGGUUGCUAAUUUGUCCUCUGACAAAAUUAGUUGUAAAGAAUAUUACAGUUAAAUGUACCCAAGUCUGGAAAUUCUCAGGAACAUGAAUAAACCAAAUUCUGGACUAUGCUACCAUCAAGAUGAGCAAGUAUUCCCGAUUCCCAAGUUGCAUGACUGUGGUUAAAGAAAGGGAUUCCUGAAGUCUCUCUGUAAAAUGGAGCAAAAUUUCUUUGCAGGCAAAUAUUUAAAAAAUCAGACAGACAAACAGACACACUUUAUACAGAAAAACAAGCAACAAAUGUUAUAAUCUUCACAAGGGGUGUUUUAAACAAAACCCUUUCUUGCCAGCUCAGAAAGACUUCAGUCUAUGGAAUUUAAAUUGGAAUCAUCCAACCAUGAGAGGAUCAUCUUCAAAAUUCCCUUUCCCCACACUGCCAAGAUUAAAAAUCCCCACUAAGGAGGAUAUUCUUCUCUGGUCUCACCAGCUAAAAAACAUUCCAAACAAAAUCCCUCUAUUUACAUGAAAAUCUUCCAAAGGAGCAAGCAGGAAACUCACCCCUGAAGCUAUGUAAAAGAAAUCUCUCUACUGGGAAUUUUCACAUUUUCAAGGGCUCACAGAAGAGCAAAACAUUUAUCAUUCUUGCUUUGAAUUUUCCCCUAAAACCAAACAGACUGUUUCUGACAUUUUCCCACAAAAAAAGUGUUUAUACUAUAAAAAGGGUGAGCUUUUUUUGUACUGGACUUAACUUAGGAUUUUACGCAGUAAGGGAGAUAUUUUCACCAAGUUAAGUUAUAUUUGCUUGAAUACAAAUCACACACUGUAAAAUAUUGCCCUAGAUCACAUUUGUACAUAGUCUCACACACACACUAUGGAUAGGAAAGGUAAAGUAGAUUUUCAUGCAAGAAUAUUCAGAGAGCAAAAUCUGGUAGAGCUAUACAGUUCAAAGAGGAUUUCCUACAAAUACUAUUAGAAAUAUUUAAAAUGCUGACCACCCUAAAAGAUUAGUUCUUUUGAAGGGUUUUCCUCCAGCCAUCUGGACUCUAAGAACAGAAAUUCUCUGGAGACCAUCCAAACUUGAAAAUGGAUGUUUGAAUCCAUACAUAUGGAGAGAAUUGAUAUUUUAGUAGAGAAUGAAAGUUAACACAAGGGAAUGUCAUCCACAAUGAAAAUGUACAGUUAAGCACAUGCAUAUAUAUAUUUGAAGGGUCAGGUGUGACCUGUAUGAAUAGUGUGCAGGCUGCUUCUGGUUCAUUUUGUCAAAUUUUAUAUCCAUUGGCAGAGAACUAAAAUACAAGCCAGUAUCUGCCCAGUCUAGUUCAAAUGAACAUCUCCUGUCACUUGCCCUAUAUUUCCCUAUGCAUUUUACAUCACUUACUGUCUUUCCUAUUCAAUAAAUG
This is a long non-coding RNA of Mauremys mutica (yellowpond turtle), 1662 nucleotides long. RefSeq lists it as uncharacterized. Lineage: Eukaryota; Metazoa; Chordata; Testudines; Geoemydidae. The record is from RefSeq and is a predicted model, not a curated record. The transcript is spliced from 3 exons.